This 328-nucleotide ribosomal RNA is filed under the name uncultured bacterium. RNAcentral's name for it is "bacterial SSU rRNA". It matches the Rfam family "Bacterial small subunit ribosomal RNA", at positions 568 to 898 of the family's 1533-position model. The record is from RNAcentral.
UGAGUAGGCGGUUUGUUAGGUCACAUGUGAAAUCCCCGGGCUCAACCUGGGAACUGCAUGAGAAACCGGCAGACUAGAGUGCAGGAGAGGUAAGCGGAAUUCCUAGUGUAGCGGUGAAAUGCGUAGAUAUUAGGAAGAACACCGGUGGCGAAGGCGGCUUACUGGACUGAAACUGACGCUGAUACACGAAAGCGUGGGGAGCGAACAGGAUUAGAUACCCUGGUAGUCCACGCUGUAAACGAUGAAUGCUAGGUGUCGGGGCGAGAGCUUCGGUGCCGGAGUUAACACAAUAAGCAUUCCGCCUGGGGAGUACGUACGCAAGUAUGAA